CAAGGGGUAAGAGAGCCUUCAGCGCGAGGGUUUGGGAUCGAGGGGUGGCGUCGCCGGUGGCGGAGAGCUGGGGGCGGGGGAGGGAGGGCCAAGCGGCGGGCGAAGGAAGAGGGCGUAGUCGCUGGGGAGAGGGGACGGGCCGGCGAGCGACUUAGUAGGCGCGCAAACUAGACGUCCACGCGCGAACAACGACGUCUGCUCUUCGCCGACUCCGCUUCUUCUCCUUAGCUGGUACCGCUGGGCAUAGGUCAAACUCUUGUUGACACUUCAACCACAAAAGAGGUUCGAGUGUUUACGGAUGACAGACCAACGUUAACCUCCUAGUCUCUUAAAGAUGUCAUGUAAACUCAGACUCGAACGUCUACAGUAAGGACACCAGUUCUGGAGAUAGCCACCGUGAUCUUAUUAACCAGCGGAGACGCAACCUUUGUUCUUACCUGAAGAGGACGGUGUGUGUUGGUGACUAGUUCUCGAAGUCGUAGACUCCUUGACGUAUGGACUAGUUCACCAACAAGUCGCGUAGCUACUCUCCGACAGGCGGGAACCGUUAACGUAUAGGACGUUACUGGUACAACGCGAGUGUGUGGGACUGGAACUGUUCCGUUGACUCCUCGAAUAACGUCUACACGAACCCCAACUCCACAAGGCAGUCUGUUAACGUCCUUUAUAGGAACAACCGUCGAUGACACGUAAGAGAUUGUCCCCACCUGACCAGGUAGGAGUGUGUAGGUAACUUCUAGAACUACUCGACAGGUGUGAGGAGGUUCAGGGAGAACAUCGACCUUGGCACUUGGCACCAUCGCUCCAGUAACGACGCCCGUACUGCCACUUGCUGACCUGGCGGAAGACACCCAGUCUGUGUUGGCGAUGACUCGACAGGCAGUAGCUCUCGCAGAAGUUCAACUCUCUUCCGGUCGGGUGCCGCUAGCAGCUACUGUACUCCUUCAGCGACUAACUGUCGAUACAGAUUUACUAGUUUCCCGUACGCCACGCCACACCAAGAACUCGACAUGAGAACCAACUGUCAUCGUUUUUUGGCACGGACAGAUUCGACAAUGAAGACAGACCAGAAGACUUAGACCUUGAUGUUUGAAUAUACGAAACAUGAGCAUAUUUCGAAUACCAUAGCCUUCUGCACGAGAACGCGAAAACACUAUAAUCUUAGAAUAUUGACGCUCACUACAACCAAAAUGAUAUAAGCUCGUAACCGGUUGAAACCGAUGUAGACGUAACUGCUAAGUACAUAGUUUUCAUAUUAGCCGUGUACGGAAAACGAGCGAAUAACAUAUGCUCAUGUUUUAGUAAUGUGUGUAUAUUGGACGGU
RNAcentral lists this ribosomal RNA (1324 nucleotides) under Triticum aestivum (bread wheat). RNAcentral's name for it is "partial small subunit ribosomal RNA". The record is from RNAcentral. Lineage: Eukaryota; Viridiplantae; Streptophyta; Magnoliopsida; Poales; Poaceae.